UGGUGGGUAGUUUGACUGGGGCGGUCUCCUCCUAAAGAGUAACGGAGGAGCACGAAGGUUGGCUAAUCCUGGUCGGACAUCAGGAGGUUAGUGCAAUGGCAUAAGCCAGCUUGACUGCGAGCGUGACGGCGCGAGCAGGUGCGAAAGCAGGUCAUAGUGAUCCGGUGGUUCUGAAUGGAAGGGCCAUCGCUCAACGGAUAAAAGGUACUCCGGGGAUAACAGGCUGAUACCGCCCAAGAGUUCAUAUCGACGGCGGUGUUUGGCACCUCGAUGUCGGCUCAUCACAUCCUGGGGCUGAAGUAGGUCCCAAGGGUAUGGCUGUUCGCCAUUUAAAGUGGUACGCGAGCUGGGUUUAGAACGUCGUGAGACAGUUCGGUCCCUAUCUGCCGUGGGCGCUGGAGAAUUGAGGGGGGCUGCUCCUAGUACGAGAGGACCGGAGUGGACGCAUCACUGGUGUUCGGGUUGUCAUGCCAAUGGCACUGCCCGGUAGCUAAAUGCGGAAGAGAUAAGUGCUGAAAGCAUCUAAGCACGAAACUUGCCCCGAGAUGAGUUCUCCCUGAGACUUAGAGUCUCCUGAAGGAACGUUGAAGACGACGACGUUGAUAGGCCGGGUGUGUAAGCGCAGCGAUGCGUUGAGCUAACCGGUACUAAUGAACCGUGAGGCUUAACCUUACAACGCCGAAG
This 684-nucleotide ribosomal RNA is filed under the name Salmonella enterica subsp. salamae. RNAcentral describes it as "partial 23S ribosomal RNA". It matches the Rfam family "Bacterial large subunit ribosomal RNA", at positions 2259 to 2925 of the family's 2925-position model. The record is from RNAcentral. Lineage: Bacteria; Pseudomonadati; Pseudomonadota; Gammaproteobacteria; Enterobacterales; Enterobacteriaceae.